Biomphalaria pfeifferi is the source of this 402-nucleotide non-coding RNA. Lineage: Eukaryota; Metazoa; Mollusca; Gastropoda; Planorbidae. The record is from the annotation of a GenBank genome assembly.
AUAAAAAUAAUAAUUUAUUUCACAAACCAAAUAUUCAACUACAAAGUUAAUCAAAAUAGUUGUCCUAAAGAAAUCAUAUCUAUUUAUAUAAAAAGGGGGAGCAUUACCAGCGGAACAGAAAUAUUUCUUUUUACAUGGCGUAGAACACUGGAGAAAACAUAAAAAAACAUUUUGAGAAAAAAAAAAUGCUUUCAACAACGGCAACAUUAAUAGAAAACUGGGAACCACUGGCAAAGAAACCAUGUGAGCUACUUGCUAUUACCAAAGGUGCAUCAUGGUCAUCACUGUAUGCUACUUUAGUUUCAUAAGCUGAUAAAUAUUGAACAUAGUUUGUAAAGAGCUAAUAGUACAUUAUAUUUGUACUACAAACAUAGCUAUCAAUCUACCAGCUAUUGAUAUAGA